Molecule: long non-coding RNA, 1894 nt
Filed under: Pan troglodytes (chimpanzee)
Lineage: Eukaryota; Metazoa; Chordata; Mammalia; Primates; Hominidae
Description: long non-coding RNA NONPTRT012270
Source: RNAcentral
CCCGAGUAGCUGGGAUCACAGGCAUGUGCCACUACACCCAGCUAAUUUUUUUUUUUUUUUUUUUUUUUUUGUAUUUUUAGUAGAGAUGGGAUUUCACCAUGUUGGCCAGGCUGGUCUUGAACUCCUGACCUCAGGUGAUCCACCUGCCUCGGCCUCCCAGAGUGCUGGGAUUAUAGGCGUGAGCCACCACGCCCGGCCUGUUUCCUUUGGUUUAAAGUGGAUUCGAAUCAGUGUUAAAUCAGAAAAUCAGGGUUUUCUAGGAAAUUGGGAAUUAGUUGCCAGAAAGGAAACUGAACUAUGCAGAAGGAGUUAAGAGCUGGGAUGAGGCUGGAUGGGGUGACUGACAGUCUGGAUCAUUGAAACUGAUUAGGUCUUCAGAAAUGGGUCCAGAUGAGGAUGAGGCUGAGGCUGGAUGGGGUGACUGACAGUCUGGAUCAUUGAAACUGAUUGGGUGGUUGGUCAGAAACGGGUCCAGAUGAGGAUGAGGCUGGAUGGGGUGACUGACAGUCUGGAUCAUUGAAACUGAUUGGGUCGUCAGAAACUGGUCCAGAUGAGGCUGGAUGGGGUGACUGACAGUUUGGAUCAUUGAAACUGAUUGGGUGGUCAGAAACGGGUCCAGAUGAGGAUGAGGCUGGAUGGGGUGACUGACAGUCUGGAUCAUUGAAACUGGUCCACUAUGACGCAGCAGGGGCAGUUUGGCAGAGCAUCCUCUUCCCUUGUCCUUGUGAAAGAACACAGGAAACAUUUGGGUUUUACAGCUUUUCACACCCUACUAUCAGGCAUCAGAAUCAAAAUUAGUUACUAAAUUGGGUGAAUUUUUGGAAACCUGCAUUUCUAUUCAUCUGCUAUUCCAGAAAAAAAUGGGAAUGUAUUACAGGAGAGUUACCUCACAGUGUCUUAUGUUGUGGAACCUGAAGCAUAACCACGUGUUUUCUUAUAUGAUCAUUUGUGUUGAUACUGCUUUUAUUUGAGUUUAUGAACAGAAAUAGAAAGUAUGGUGCUUGGGUUUUGCCCUUUCUUACUCCUGAAAGUUAAAUCAGAAGACACUGAUUUCAUUUUGUGAAAUUUAGCUCAGAGACGAUUGAUCUUUUGUUUCAUUAAUAUGAACAACUAUUAGUAAAAAAAUAGCUUUAACAGCAUUUCUGCUGAUAUCUAGUAAUCUAUUCUUUUAAUGUGAAAAUACGAUAAAAUGUCCUGGAGCUAAUUCUAGCUUAAAUUUGCCAGUAUUUCUUCUGUAUGUCAUUAAGUUUUUUUCCUCUAAGGUUGGUAAUAGAAUUUUGUUAAUCUUUGCAUACCUGAUGGCAUCUAUGUCAAUGCUGAUUGGGUAAUUAUAAAUUCUGUGCUCAUUUAAAACUUAAUUUGCCUCUUAAGGUGAUUGUCCUCUGAGUAAUGAUUGUAGUUAAAUGAAGUAUAGCUUGCAACUAUACUAUCACAUGGGUUGUUAAGUAAAAAUAAAUAAACCAAAUUUGUCUGAGACAGGCUAAGAUCAAUCUUCUCAUCAAACCAGUUUUUCUCUAAGAGCAAUUUCACUUUAAGUUUUAGGGUGGACAUUCUUGAAUGCCUCAAAUUAAACGUUAUCUAUUUAAUCUUCCUGGAAUAGUCUGUGACCAAAAAGGAGGGUGUGAUAUAUUUAGGUGUAAAUAUAUCACAUAUAUGGUGUGAUAUAUUUGGGAUUUAUAUAUUCAGCUCAUUCUCUGUGAAGAAGUCUUCCUGACUAAAAUUGGUUUCAAGAUAAACUAAUUUCUGUUAGUAUUUCUACUCUGCCUACCAUGUAUGCCUUUUUGUUAGAAACUAAUAAAUGUAUCAGUCACUAGCAGGUACUGGUCCUUUUUCCUCUCAUUUUUGUGGAAAGGAUAUGCAAACGUUGAAUUUCUCAGGGAGUACUAAGGCUGUG